Molecule: unclassified non-coding RNA, 210 nt
Filed under: Hevea brasiliensis (rubber tree)
Lineage: Eukaryota; Viridiplantae; Streptophyta; Magnoliopsida; Malpighiales; Euphorbiaceae
Source: RNAcentral
GCCUCAGGUCAGUAUACUCCCGUGGUCGUAUUGACUUACUGUUGAGGGUUGUCGGACGUGUAUUUAUCUAUGUUAUACACUACACCAGAUUUCAGAAAGUAUGUUUCCCAAGUUUCUCAGAAAAGGCAUAAAACUAAGUUGUUCAAAAUAAGAAAAAGAAAAAGCUAAUUCACCUGAAGAAAAACAAAUAGGAAGUCUUUGUUAGAAGAU